CAAAAGGGCUCAUUUCAUUUUCAAGAAACUGGGAAACCUAAUUCCGAGAACCUUGAUUCGAACCUCAGCCUUGAAAAGCUGGAUAAAAUUGCAACCCAGACCCAAACUGCAGCCAAACGGAAACCACCUGGCCCUUGUCCAGCCAUUUCAGCCGACCGAAACGCAGAGGCAGGGAAGCUCCCGCUGCCCUAUCCGCUCAGAAGCCGAGGGGAGGGCUCCCGAGGCGGCUCGCAGGUGGGGCCCGCCCCGGCCCCGAAGCGGGAGCGGCGAUACAGCACAGCGAGCCGCUCACCGGCCCCAUCCCCUCCUGAGGGCGCCUCCGCCGGGGAGUUCCCCUCAGCGUGGCCAGGUGGGGCCGUCCCCGCCUCCCCGCCCCUCGGGCAGCGCGCUCCCCGACCGGCAGCAGCGGCAGUGCGGUUCCCGCCUCGGCAGCGGCUCUUCCCAGCGCUGCCCGCCACACGCAACAGGUCAGCGCCGGGGGAGCCGCUUCCUCCCGCCCUGUACAUGUGUGCGCGCCGCUGUGCCGGGAAACAAAGGGGCCGAGCGCGGCGCGGCGCGGCCCCCGGGGUGAGCGCAGCUUCUACGCGCCACGGACUCUCGCGUUCAGCCAUUUGCAGCGCCCGGCAGCGCCCCUCCGCCUCUCUCUCUCUCUCUCUCCCCCCCCCUCCUCCCUCUCCCUCCUCCCACCGCGCUCCCCCCCCCGCCGCCGCAGGCUACGGUGUUCCGCGGAGUUGCUCUGCAACGCCGGGCCCGCGGGUGGGCAGGCGGCGGGCAUCGCGCCCGGGCCAGGGCUGCCCGCGGGUGGGCGGGCGAGAGGCGGGUUGCGUUGCCGGAGUCGCGCUGCCCGAAGGAGAAAUGCAUUUGAGGAGCAGUGAUAUGAAGAAACAUUCUUGAAGUUCAUGUAGAAGAAACCUUGGCUUAUAGGAAAUCUUCCAGAACAGAUUGCAACCACUUUCCCUGAAGUAGCUGUACAAGAUGAACAGGCUGUGAUAAUAUUCUUAACUAUCUGACUUGAAAGGACAUGUUUCCGGGUUGCUCAGCAUGGUGUGGGGACCAGUUGCCAUGAAAGGAUGCUGCACAUGAAAACUGUUUAAAAUUUUCAUAUAAUAACAAAAAAAGCAGAACUGCUUUGCAGGCUAUUGAGGUGUGAUAUUCAUAAAGGGAAGACGUUCAGGUUUUCAUGGGCAGUGUCUGACUGAGGAGAUGCCAUUGCUGGCCAGGCCACAGAAGCUCAAGGCUCUCUGAUGUCCCCCAGCAGGUGAUGGGCAUUUCAGUGCGACCAAGGCCUGUCCAGAGCGGUGCUGUGCAACACCAGAGCAGCU
This 1322-nucleotide long non-coding RNA is filed under the name Pavo cristatus (Indian peafowl). Its description in RNAcentral is "lncRNA (ENSPSTG00000008048.1)". Lineage: Eukaryota; Metazoa; Chordata; Aves; Galliformes; Phasianidae. The record is from RNAcentral.